RNAcentral lists this ribosomal RNA (380 nucleotides) under uncultured soil bacterium. RNAcentral's name for it is "bacterial SSU rRNA". It matches the Rfam family "Bacterial small subunit ribosomal RNA", at positions 26 to 407 of the family's 1533-position model. The record is from RNAcentral.
AGGACGAACGCUGGCGGCGUGCUUAACACAUGCAAGUCGAGCGGUAAGGCCUUUCGGGGUACACGAGCGGCGAACGGGUGAGUAACACGUGGGUGAUCUGCCCUGCACUUCGGGAUAAGCCUGGGAAACUGGGUCUAAUACCGGAUAUGACCUCCUAUCGCAUGGUGGGUAGGUGGAAAGCUUAUCGGUGCAGGAUGGGCCCGCGGCCUAGUCAGGCUUGUUGGUGGGUAAUGGCCUACAAGCGACGACGGGUAGCCGACCUGAGAGGGUGACCGGCCACACGUGGGACUGAGACACGGCCCAGACUCCUACGGGAGGCAGCAGUGGGAAUAGUUGCACAGUGGGACGAAAGCCGUAGAUGCAGCGACGCCGCGUGGAGG